AAGAAAUAGAAAUGGGCCCAAUAGCUUGCUCCAUUCCUAAGCAGGUGUAGAGGCCUAAACCCAAACAAACCCUAGCCUAGGAAAUCAACCUGCAGGAGAAAUGAACAAAGGAAAGCAUCGCCGUACAUGAUAGAGGAAGAAUGCCACCAACCAAAUCAUCCUUGCAGAGACAUCAAGGUUGCCCCAGUGACAUGCAGGCCAGAAGGACCCAAGAGCAAACGAAGCAGAAAACUCAUAACCCAUGGGUAUUGCAGACAAAGAAGACAAACACCGGUCAAUAGAGGGGUGGAAAGUGGCAGGCUCUUCGGUAUCUCACUCAUGCCUUCCGGGUUAGGCUGAUCUGCAUCACACCCUACGAGUGACCACCCUCCAUAACUCGUCAACCUUCCCCUCAGUAACGCAAAGCUAUAGCAAUCAAACAGAACGAGGCCAAGAACAAGCAUCAGACCUGCAGAUCAAGAAACCCUCUCCAAUAAACCGCAAAUCUGCAGCAAAACCAAACGCAAUUAUUUAUGCACAAACCAUCUCUCCCGAAGGUGAGGAGGGAGACCCACUUCUGGGACAGGAGACGGAGACCCCCCUGAGCCGCGAAAUCAGCAAAGAUGGAGGCCUACGAGCCUCAGAGAACCGAAGGACCACUUGUCAGUCUGAACAUGCAUAUAUUAUUAUUAUGUCAAAAUCAUUGCUAUAAAGCUUAAAUGCUUGAAUGAAGCACUAUAGGAAGGAGACAUGAACAAAAAUUAUUAUAACCAAAAUUUAUAACUCAAGUGACUUGUAUAAAAUAUGAGUUAGGUACUUAAAGAUCAGUAUAAAAUCUUAAGUUCAAAUUUUAUUUUUGUUUUUCUAAG
RNAcentral lists this unclassified non-coding RNA (848 nucleotides) under Hevea brasiliensis (rubber tree). The record is from RNAcentral. Lineage: Eukaryota; Viridiplantae; Streptophyta; Magnoliopsida; Malpighiales; Euphorbiaceae.